CCGCUCUCCUUUUCAUGGCUUCCACUCUCCUUAGUGUUUUUUUUCUUUCGCAUACGUAAUCGACGCCUAUCAUUCCGUUCUGCCGUAAACUGCAUCAUAUCCACCAUCAUCGCGAAGAAAAGGGGAGUAUAAACAAGGAAACACCACCUGUAGCAGCGCAUCGUAACAGGUGGAGUUGCUGUGCACUGUCGAUCACGGUUCUGAAAGAAAGCAUACACCGACACCGACACCCACACGGACGCUGCUGUACAAGUGUUUAGCAGAACUGUAUCAGCUGCUGUUGAGUUUCUCUUUUUCUUUGUCUCCUUUACUUCCCUGCCGUCAUCUUUUCGUUGUUUUCUCCGCCCUUUUUGGUACCCUCCCUGCCUUUUUUAAACCGACCACCGCCUGCGGCACAGUUCAAAGAAAGCGAGAAGCACACUGCCGCACCGUUUGUGAUACACACACACACACACACACACACAUUUUUACCAUUGCAAGUGCCGAUCCAUUCGCUCGUUCACUGGAAUACGGCCACCUGCACCCCACAACUCCCCAACAUCGCAGCUGUCUUUUCUUCUGUUCUCGAUUCUGAAUUCUUUCUACUUUCUCAGGAGGAAAAGCACUGAAGGAUCUGCACUGCCAUCUGCUCCACCCGGUUCUGUGCGUGUGUGCGAGCGCGGGGAACUCAAUUCGGGCAUUAUCUUCAACCCCCUCGUUUUCGCACUCGGUGGUCUCAUUGCCUCCUUCUCUGCGUCACCCUGCAGUCGCUACCACUCUCGGCCCUCCCCCUCCUCGCCGCCCAGCACCCAACGUGUGUUAGGAACUCACGCGUGCAAACAAAGGGCGCAAUGAUGAGUGUGGACAAUUCCGAAAAUGCGUUCCGCAAUGUUAACAUGCGCGACCUGAUCACGCGCGCGGGGCACGAGCCGCCGCGCUCUGCUCUGUACGAGUACGUCAAGUCGCUCAAGAGCGAGAACUCUCAGAGCACCCCUCUGUCGCUGGCGUCCGACGACUCGUGGGACUCCACCACACACUCCACGUACAACAGCAUGGCGGACAACUUGUCGGAGUUGGGCGGCGUUACGGAGGACGCCGAGACGCGCGACUUGAUUUACAAGCUGUGUCACUCGCUGCACAAGAAGGCAGUGCAAAGGAUCGAGGGUUCCCGGCAGCAUCGCCAGAGGUCGGUGGAGGUGAACGUGGAGCAUGAGAAGAACAUGUCACAUAUCGGGGACUGGAUGCCGCUGCUGCACCUCUUCGACCCGCAGACGUUCUACGCGGUGCGAGGCACCCCCAUGACGCUUGCCGCCACUGCUGAGCGUCCGUUCAGCCUUAACGUGGCAGAAAACCCGAAGGAGGCUUCGCAGCUGCUUUUGGGCGAGCUGGACGUCGAGAAGCUGUCGGGCGGCAACAGCAACCACGUGUACCGCCUAGCACACCCCGACUUCCCCGGAAAGACGGUGCUGCUGCGCGUGUAUGGCAGUGGUGACAGCGAGGCGAUUGAUCGAUUCCGCGACGUGAUGGCGAUGCGCGAGAUGAGCCGGGCGAGGCUGAGCCCGGCCGUUCUGCACUCCUUCAAGUGGGGCCGUGUCGAGGAGUUCAUGGAAGGCGUCGCGACGUGCUCGACGGAUAUGCUGCUUCGCAGCCCGACCCUGCUGGCGGAGGUGUGGUUGCUGGUACACAAGAUGCACAGCCUGCCGUACGCCUCCUUUCUCCCGCAGAAUGUCAACAACGAGAAGAUCCGCCACUUACUGCACCCGGCUCUCGCACACUGCGAAUACGCCACCCCUGAAGAAUACUGCGACGUCUUAUCGAAGCGCCUGAAGAAAGUGGUCCUGACGAAAAAGAGCGACUACUACCUUGACAACACGAGCCAGAAGCUGAUGGAAGACGCGUGCCCGUCCUCCUUCGAGCGCACAUGCUUCCGCUUCCUGCGGCUCACCAGCAACCUCAUUCUGGAGUCCUACCGCGCCUCCUUCGUGUCCUUCAUUAGUGCCGAGGUGAUGCUGCUGCGCGAGCUCCUCAUGAAACGAGCGGUGCCACUCGUCUUCUCGCACAACGACUUGAACCCGGGCAACAUCCUCCUGGCGUGGCGCAAGGUGCCAAAGGAGAUGCGCCGGCAGGUUGCCAACGACGAGGAUGAAGAGGACGAGGUGAUGCCGGUGACCUCUGACCAGUCCACGGCCUUCAGUCGCAAGUUCCUGUCCAAGAAGGGCCAUCACCGAAACCUCGUGGACAUGAAGGGCAUCAUCUUCAUUGACUUCGAAUACACGGACGUGAACUACCGCUGCUUCGAUCUUGGCAACACGAUCUGCGAGCUCGACUACGACUACACCCGCGGCACCGCCGAGGGUGAGCCUGGCUUCAUCAAGUACCACUACACUUUUCCCCCGGAGGAGUACAGGGAGCAGUGGAAGGGACACCCAAUGACGUACCCGCGUUGCCAGGAGCUCAUUUACACCACAUGGCAGAAGAACGAACAGCAUCGCCAGCGACACGGCGGCGAGGCACCGCCAGCGCCGGCGCCGUCGGAGAUGCAUCUCGGGCAUAUCUGCUUGAAAGGGCUUCAGGCGUACUUCGCGGCCGCGGCACCCGCCGGCACCGCUCGUGACGCCGCUACCCCGAUCACCCGUGACGAGCUCACGGAGGUGUUUAUUGGCACUAUGUGCUCGCACCUGAGCUGGUCGCUGUGGUCCUUGGUGAUGUGCGCCAAUCCUGACGUUUGCACCAACAACGCUAACGAUGACCUCUUCGCCAAAGGGAGUAGCGGGCUCGACUACAUCUACUACGGCAACUGCCGCUUGCAGGAGUACGUGGCGCUGAAACAAUGGAUGCGAGACAAGCAGCUUAUCUGAGAGAGCACCCACGUACAGAGUUAAGGGUGCUACUUGUUUCCACCAUACCUACCUCCUUUCUAUUGAUGUGUGUGCCUGCGCUCCAUGCUUGCUUGUCUUUUCCACUUGCGGCCCCACCAGUGAGCACGCAUCUUCCGUGGCCCUCUUUUUCUGACCCCCUCGCGUGUGGAAGAGAAGUUAGAGUGCAACGGUUCUUCCUCCCUUUAUUUCAGCCUCUCUAUCCCCAUCGCCGAUCUGUAUGUGUAUUUGUGGCACUCGGCCAUCUCAACGCCUUUCGACUUGUUCUUUUUUGAUCCCCUCGAUUCCCCUCCCCUCCCCCCCCCCCCCACACACACCUUCUCUCCCUCGUCGUUCGACUGCUGUUUUGUUUUCUGUGUUUUCAUCUUUUUAUUGGGUGUGCUCCUCUUUCGCUGCUCGCCAUGUAUGUGUGUUCUUCCGACUUUUCUUCGGCUCCCCUCACGAAGUGAGGACGAUGGGGCGGCACGUGUGCGACGGAUACGUGAGGUGCAUCAUGUCUGUGUCUCUGGCUGUGUUCAUUCUCUCGAGUAAAAAGGAGUAACGCAAAAAGCACUGAGACAACGCGGUGCCCAAAACAUAUGUUGAAUAACUUUGGUGAUGCAUGCGCGCAUUCAGUCGGGGGAGUUACUCGCUCAUACGACGACAGUAUCUGUCCUUUUUCCUCUCCUAACGCGUCUUCCAGCCUCUGCGCGUCGGAACAGGUGUGCGAGCACGUUUCCUCGACACACCAACCUGCCCACCACGCAUGCACACAGCGACCGCAAGAAGGCUGUUCCUAUCGCGGUAAGCCUCUGUUUUCUUUCUCGAGUUACUGAAAUCGAAAGCGCGAGGGCGCCUGCACUGCUUUUCGAAGAACAAGCACAAGCCCACUGGGGGCGCACGGCGCUCCACCGUGCCUGUCUUUCCUUCGCCGCCCGCCAUGCUUACCGGCGCCGGUUUUGCCACCCCCCGCCCCCUCCAGGUGGUGGGCUCCUGCGCGCCUCUCCGCAACUUUUCCUUCGCCUCGUUGGUUCGCCUCGGCUGGUCGCCAGCUUCCCCUUCCCCUCGCUCCGCGAGGGCCGAGGCUGGUGGGGGUCCCUCGUGGGCCUCGCCGGUUCCCAAGGGGGUGCCCUCCCGCGGCCCCUUUGGGGGGGGGAGCUGGCGCGGGGGGCCCUGCCCGCGGCGGGGGCGCGCCGGGAAAACACACCGUUCCACGUUUUCGUUCUCGCGCGGUGGAGCACGAGCCCGGCACCACGCUACCCGGUCCCGGCGCCGGGCCCCCAUCGCGUGGUGCGAAGCAGCCGUGGGCACACACGCGUUGCAGCAACUGCGCCGAGCCGGCCACCUGAGCAGAGCCCCCCCUCCCCCGCCUCCAACUCCACCAAAUCACCCGCCCCGCAGGCCGCCUCACCGCCGCUCCCACCAUGGCAGUCGCCACGUGGUGCAUCCCCCUCGGGGUGGCGCACAGGUUACCCGCACCAGUGGGCAGCGAGGGGCCAGCUGCGAUACGCUUGGGUCGCACCGAUGCAACGCCACCCACAACCUGACCCUGUCACCACCAGACGCGGCUCAGCAUUUGGCAGGGGAUAGGGAGGGAGAGAGGGAAGGGGAGGGGGCUGCUUGGCUUCCCCGCGGAGAGUGGGGUUGCUGGACUCUGACGCGUACCACGCGCUGGGAGGCGUCCCCCCCCCCCAUGCCAUCAGGGCGGAGAAGUCGCUGAAGCGAGAGACCGACAAACUACUCACGUGGAGCACCGAAAAGCAAAACUGCACGUUCGAUCUCAAAUCAUUAUUGCCGCCUUAGAGCAGCUGUGGAGGCUGCCGUUGUUGUUGUUGGCUGCUCCAUUCCUGCGCACCCAUCCAAUGGGUACGGGCCGCGCAUGCUACUCAGUGUUCAUUGCAGCCGCCGCCGCAGCGGGGCCCAGCGGCACGCCGUACUCUACACGGGGGCCGUGCGUAUCAACCGACUUGCUUGUCGACGCGGCGCGUACCCGGGCUAACACAAGGUAAAGGAAAAGAGGGCGUUACCGCGACAGCGCAGUGCGGUAUGUAUAUGUGUGUGUGUGCGUGUGCAUGUGUAGAAACGAUGGUGCACCGCAGAUAUCCGAGCCACCACCAGACAAACGAGAGAGGGAAAAGGUUGUGGGCGCUUGGGGCAUUGAGUGAAAGGUAGACGCGAGUGGGGACCGAGGAGACUCGAUGAGGGGUACUCGACAAUGCUCAGCUGUCGUGGUGCUUCUCUCAGAUCCGUCACGCACGCACACCCGCACAAUCGUACUGACCGCAUUCCGCAGUGGAGCGGUGGCCAUCAAACCUGACUUCAACAUAAGGGCAGACGAAGAUUUGCUGAGGGAAGCAUUUGCUGUCUUGAUUUUU
Molecule: unclassified non-coding RNA, 5209 nt
Filed under: Leishmania donovani
Lineage: Eukaryota; Euglenozoa; Kinetoplastea; Trypanosomatida; Trypanosomatidae
Description: gene:LdHU3.35.1940(CDS-product:choline/ethanolami ne_kinase_putative)
Source: RNAcentral